CAAUAGCGUAUAUUAAAGUUGUUGCGGUUAAAAAGCUCGUAGUUGGAUUUCUGCUGAGAACGACCGGUCCGCCCUCUGGGUGUGUAUCUGGCUCUUUCUUGGCAUCUUCUUGGUGAACGUUACUGCACUUGACUGUGUGGAGCGCUACCCAGGACUUUUACUUUGAGGAAAUUAGAGUGUUUCAAGCAGGCAUACGCCUUGAAUACAUUAGCAUGGAAUAAUAAGAUAGGACCUCGGUUCUAUUUUGUUGGUUUCUAGAGCUGAGGUAAUGAUUAAUAGGGAUAGUUGGGGGCAUUCGUAUUUAACUGUCAGAGGUGAAAUUCUUGGAUUUGUUAAAGACGGACUACUGCGAANGNAUUUGCNAAGGAUGUUUNCAUUG
Molecule: ribosomal RNA, 379 nt
Filed under: uncultured eukaryote
Lineage: Eukaryota
Description: partial 18S ribosomal RNA
Rfam family: Eukaryotic small subunit ribosomal RNA
Source: RNAcentral